Molecule: ribosomal RNA, 440 nt
Filed under: Drosophila auraria
Lineage: Eukaryota; Metazoa; Arthropoda; Insecta; Diptera; Drosophilidae
Description: partial 12S ribosomal RNA
Source: RNAcentral
UAUUAUUUAAAAUGUAAAUUUUUUACUAAAGUAGUAAUAGCUAUGUUCUUGAAACUUAAAAAAUUUGGCGGUAUUUUAGUCUAUCCAGAGGAACCUGUUUUGUAAUCGAUAAUCCACGAUGGACCUUACUUAAGUUUGUAAUCAGUUUAUAUACCGUCGUUAUCAGAAUAUUUUAUAAGAAUAAUAAUAUUCAAUAAUUUUAAUAAAAAUUUAUAUCAGAUCAAGGUGUAGCUUAUAUUUAAGUAAUAAUGGGUUACAAUAAAUAUAUUUAAACGGAUAAAACUAUGAAAAAGUUUUUUAAGGUGGAUUUGGUAGUAAAAUUAUAAAGAUAAAUAAUUUGAUUUUAGCUCUAAAAUAUGUACACAUCGCCCGUCGCUCUUAUUAUUAAGGUAAGAUAAGUCGUAACAUAGUAGAUGUACUGGAAAGUGUAUCUAGAAUGA